AACGCACAUUGCGCCCGCCAGUAUUCUGGCGGGCAUGCCUGUUCGAGCGUCAUUACAACCCUCAGGCCCCCGGGCCUGGCGUUGGGGAUCGGCGGAGCCCCCCGUGGGCACACGCCGUCCCCCAAAUACAGUGGCGGUCCCGCCGCAGCUUCCAUUGCGUAGUAGCUAACACCUCGCAACUGGAGAGCGGCGCGGCCAUGCCGUAAAACACCCAACUUCUGAAUGUUGACCUCGAAUCAGGUAGGAAUACCCGCUGAACUUAA
Molecule: unclassified non-coding RNA, 263 nt
Filed under: uncultured Fusarium
Lineage: Eukaryota; Fungi; Ascomycota; Sordariomycetes; Hypocreales; Nectriaceae
Description: sequence contains ITS2
Rfam family: 5.8S ribosomal RNA (bases 1-52)
Source: RNAcentral